GGAGGGUUCGCAUAGUGGUCUAGUGCACGUCCCUGGAAAGGACGAGUCUGGGAAACCGGACCGAGAGUUCGAAUCUCUCACCCUCCG
This 87-nucleotide transfer RNA is filed under the name Minisyncoccota bacterium. RNAcentral's name for it is "tRNA-Ser". It matches the Rfam family "tRNA". From Rfam's summary of the family: Transfer RNA (tRNA) molecules are approximately 80 nucleotides in length. Their secondary structure includes four short double-helical elements and three loops (D, anti-codon, and T loops). The record is from RNAcentral. Lineage: Bacteria; Bacillati; Minisyncoccota.